RNAcentral lists this ribosomal RNA (470 nucleotides) under uncultured bacterium. Its description in RNAcentral is "bacterial SSU rRNA". It matches the Rfam family "Bacterial small subunit ribosomal RNA", at positions 355 to 825 of the family's 1533-position model. The record is from RNAcentral.
UCGAGAAUCUUCCGCAAUGGGCGAAAGCCUGACGGAGCGACACCGCGUGCAGGAUGAAGGCCUUCGGGUUGUAAACUGCUGUCACGCUAUAGGAAUGCCCUGUGGUUAAUAUCCACAGGAUUGACCAAAGCGAGAGGAAGCACCGGCUAACUCCGUGCCAGCAGCCGCGGUAAUACGGAGGGGGGCUAGCGUUGUUCGGAAUUACUGGGCGUAAAGCGCAUGUAGGCGGGUCGUUAAGUCGGGGGUGAAAGCCCAGAGCUCAACUCUGGAACUGCCUUCGAUACUGGCGACCUGGACCCAAGGAGAGGCAAGUGGAAUUGCGAGUGUAGAGGUGAAAUUCGUAGAUAUUCGCAGGAACACCAGUGGCGAAGGCGACUCGCUGGACUUGUGGUGACGCUGAGAUGCGAAAGCGUGGGGAGCAAACAGGAUUAGAUACCCAUGUAGUCCCUGAGCGGGCUGGCAAGGCGCAU